GAUGAACGCUGGCGGUAUGCUUAACACAUGCAAGUCGAACGGUCACUUCGGUGAUAGUGGCGGACGGGUGAGUAACGCGUGAGAAUCUGUCUUCAGGUCGGGGACAACAGUUAGAAAUGACUGCUAAUACCGGAUGUGCCUUUGGGUGAAAGAUUUAUUGCCUGAAAAAGAGCUCGCGUCAGAUUAGCUAGUAGGUGGUGUAAGAGACUACCUAGGCUCCGAUCUGUAGCUGGUCUGAGAGGACGAUCAGCCACACUGGAACUGAGACACGGUCCAGACUCCUACGGGGGGCAGCAGGGGGAAUUUUCCGCAAUGGGCGAAAGCCUGACGGAGCAAUACCGCGUGAGGGACGAAGGCUUUUGGGUCGUAAACCUCUUUUCUCAAGGAAGAUGAUGACGGUACUUGAGGAAUAAGCAUCGGCUAACUCUGUG
RNAcentral lists this ribosomal RNA (431 nucleotides) under uncultured bacterium. RNAcentral describes it as "partial 16S ribosomal RNA". It matches the Rfam family "Bacterial small subunit ribosomal RNA", at positions 28 to 507 of the family's 1533-position model. The record is from RNAcentral.